Molecule: ribosomal RNA, 440 nt
Filed under: uncultured bacterium
Lineage: Bacteria
Description: partial 16S ribosomal RNA
Rfam family: Bacterial small subunit ribosomal RNA
Source: RNAcentral
CCUACGGGAGGCUGCAGUGGGGGAUAUUGCACAAUGGGGGAAACCCUGAUGCAGCGACGCCGCGUGUGGGAAGACGGUCCUCUGGAUUGUAAACCACUUUCCCCAGGGACGAAGAUGACGGUACCGGGGGAGGAAGCUCCGGCUAACUACGGGCCAGCAGCCGCGGUAAUAGGUAGGGAGCGAGCGUUGUCCGGAAUUACGGGGUGUACAGGGAGCGUAGGGGGGGAUGAAAGUUGGGUGUCAAACCUACCGGCUAAACUGGUAGUCGCACUCAAAACUGCAGCUCUUGAGUGAAGUAGAGGCAGGCGGAAUGCCUAGUGUAGCGGUGAAAUGCGUAGAUAUUAGGAGGAACACCAGUGGCGAAGGCGGCCUGCUGGGCUUUUACUGACGCUGAGGCUCGAAAGUGUGGGGAGCAAACAGGAUUAGAUACCCGAGUAGUC